This 459-nucleotide unclassified non-coding RNA is filed under the name Hevea brasiliensis (rubber tree). The record is from RNAcentral. Lineage: Eukaryota; Viridiplantae; Streptophyta; Magnoliopsida; Malpighiales; Euphorbiaceae.
UCUUAAUGUUUCAUUUUUCUUGAGGUUAUUACUAUAAGUAUUAUGUUGCUAUGCUUAGAUUGAUCCGGUAUUUACCAUGAUAAUUUUAUUUGAACAAUAGUUUACAUUAUAUUAUUUUGUUGAUCUCGUAGAUUUUGAGUUGAAAUGAGUUAAAGGGCCGAUGAAAAAUCUAUCCGUCGGGUUUAGAGGCCUCCCCAUUUUAAAAGACGGAUAUCUAAUUCAAGUUUAUAUAUAUUUUUAGUUGUUGAAAUUGGCCGAUGAAGAAAUUACCGUCGAUUUCCAAGGCCUCCCGUGUCAAUAAGACGGAUUUUUAUUCUUAAGUUAUUAUUUGAGUUAUUCAUUUUUUGUUAUAUUUAUUUGGCACUAACUCUUUUACUAAGUGUCUUUACAGGUACACCGAGGUGCUUUUCCUUGAAAUUAUUCGAAAAAGUUCAAAUUAUAUUUUUAUUUCAUUAUUAU